Molecule: long non-coding RNA, 540 nt
Filed under: Bos taurus (domestic cattle)
Lineage: Eukaryota; Metazoa; Chordata; Mammalia; Artiodactyla; Bovidae
Description: long non-coding RNA NONBTAT019119
Source: RNAcentral
AUUUUUUUUCUAAAGCUGUUGUUUGCCAAGCUGGCUAACCUACACUCUCUGAAUAGGGAUUGGUUGUAGUAUUAUUAGUGAAGGUAUAGUCUGUUUUUUUACGUACUUUCAAUUUGUGUGAAUUGGGGGUUCAAUAAACCUCACUUAAGACUACUGCUAGAAAUGUUAAAACAACCAUCAUCGGCCUCUCAAAAACUAGAGAACUUUGAGGAGAUGAAAUUGUGCACAGCGUCCUUGGUCUCCCUGAACCACGGACAGAACGCGCCUGUAAUUUACUCACUGUGUUGGUGGAGUUUGCCACAGUAUAGAAAGUAUUUGAUGCUUCUGAAUAGUAUGUGACAACUUAAAGUAAUUGGGGUGUUUUCUUCUAAAAUUGGUCAUCUACGGUCAUCUAAUCUGAUUUUUAGAUUUGUUUUAGAACUUAAUGGUACUUCAUGUUGGUUCUUUGGUUGCUGUCCAUGAGACAUCAUAAAUAAUUAACUACUUGAAUCAGGCUGUUUAGGUCCACAUCGUUCUUAACAGAUCAAAAAGAAUUUUCUC